RNAcentral lists this ribosomal RNA (253 nucleotides) under uncultured bacterium. RNAcentral's name for it is "partial 16S ribosomal RNA". It matches the Rfam family "Bacterial small subunit ribosomal RNA", at positions 524 to 776 of the family's 1533-position model. The record is from RNAcentral.
UACGAAGGGGGCUAGCGUUGUUCGGAAUCACUGGGCGUAAAGGGCGCGUAGGCGGCUUUAUAAGUCGGGGGUGAAAGCCUGUGGCUCAACCACAGAAUUGCCUUCGAUACUGUAGAGCUUGAGACCGGAAGAGGUAAGUGGAACUGCGAGUGUAGAGGUGAAAUUCGUAGAUAUUCGCAAGAACACCAGUGGCGAAGGCGGCUUACUGGACAUGUAUUGACGCUGAGGUGCGAAAGCGUGGGGAGCAAACAGG